AUGAUGGGCGGAAAACAUCCACAAACUUUGCUUACAGAUCAAUGCAGGUCCAUGGAGAUAGCAAUGGAGAAAGUGAUGCCAGAAACCACUCACCGCUGGUGCAAGUGGCACGUGCUGAAGAAGGCAAAGGAAUCUCUGGGACCAUACUACACAAAGCGCAACAAAUUCAGGUCAGAGUUCCACAAGAUAAUACAUCACAUGCUGACACUGGAGGAAUUCGAAACUGCAUGGAAGCAACUGACAGAAUCACAUGGCUUGGAAAAACAUCCUUACCUUACUCACAUCUAUGAAACAAGAGCAAAAUGGGCUAAACCAUACUUCAAAGGGAAGCAAGUGAAAACUAUGAGGAGAGACGCACAAAAAUUGUAG
This 369-nucleotide ribosomal RNA is filed under the name Triticum aestivum (bread wheat). RNAcentral describes it as "partial small subunit ribosomal RNA". Lineage: Eukaryota; Viridiplantae; Streptophyta; Magnoliopsida; Poales; Poaceae. The record is from RNAcentral.